Molecule: long non-coding RNA, 1050 nt
Organism: Papaver somniferum (opium poppy)
Lineage: Eukaryota; Viridiplantae; Streptophyta; Magnoliopsida; Ranunculales; Papaveraceae
Exons: 4
Source: RefSeq, a predicted model, not a curated record
GUGCCUAGUGUGUCAAAGAUGACUACUGCUACCAUCAAUUGGAUCUUACAGAAUUAGGGAUUUCUGAAUUUGGGGUUAUGUUGAGCUUAUGCUGUGUACUUGGCUGGUCAUCAGUUCAUACAAGAAUUUCUCUAGAUUAGAAGGUCAAGAACCCUAAACUUAAGUCGUCUUUGGGUAUAAUAAUGUUCAUAUCUAUGCGAUGGAUCCUGAUAAUCCCCAUGUCAGUUGCAUUUGCUGGACAAGGUAUAAACUUGGAAGGACUUCAUUGUUGCAGCAGAGGAAGAUGGCGAUGCAAAACCACGCAACACUUAUGAAAGGAAAAAUAUGAUAGCGGCACCGCAACAAACCAAAACUCCAAACGGAACAAGGCCCUGCGAUGCUGGAAACCUUCAGACUCAGUCUACCUUCGAGUAAAAUAAGCAGUCCAACGGUGGAACAAGUUGCAUGGAAACUAACCAGCCUUACGUUCACGGGCUCAAGUGAUUGGCAAGAGCUGUAAAUUCCUUGCAGGGUUUAUACGGGUCAUGCGUACACCUGAGGUUGCAGAGUAAGAUUCCUAAGAUGAUGAAGCUCAUGCAAGUGCAACCACCAUGCCGAAUAUGAAAUACUUUAAAAUGACUUACAUAGUUCUCUGUACAGGUGAGAUCAUCUCAAACUGUAAGGAUUUAUAAUGCAUAAUUCGGGAGGUCGUUGAAAUGUAAGCUUGAUGGGAACGACCAGAAGGAGAAACACCCCUGGUUGGAAAUAGUUGGACCAUUUGUAGACAAAGGCAGUUGCUGGGAUAUGGAUGAUUGUUCGCAUUAUUCUGACUCAGGAUUUUUUCGCUGGUGGAAUUGCAGAUUACGACAACUUAGGUUCAUACGGUUGGGAUCAUGAACAAAGACUCGAAGAACUUGAGAUUAUUACUACUACUGCUUCUACUACUAGUCUACUUAGUACAUUACUAGUAAUUCUAAGUUCGCAACAACUUCUUAAUUGCUUGGAACUUUUUAUAUUGCUCAAAAGGAUGUAUUUGUUUCAGUAAAAACUAAUCUAUAUGUGUGUCCUCUA